RNAcentral lists this ribosomal RNA (497 nucleotides) under uncultured bacterium. Its description in RNAcentral is "partial 16S ribosomal RNA". It matches the Rfam family "Bacterial small subunit ribosomal RNA", at positions 28 to 507 of the family's 1533-position model. The record is from RNAcentral.
GAUGAACGCUGGCGGCGUGCCUAAUACAUGCAAGUCGAGCGAACAGACGAGGAGCUUGCUCCUUUGACGUUAGCGGCGGACGGGUGAGUAACACGUAGGUAACCUACCUAUAAGACUGGGAUAACUUCGGGAAACCGGAGCUAAUACCGGAUAAUAUUUCGAACCGCAUGGUUCGAUAGUGAAAGAUGGUUUUGCUAUCACUUAUAGAUGGACCUGCGCCGUAUUAGCUAGUUGGUAAGGUAACGGCUUACCAAGGCAACGAUACGUAGCCGACCUGAGAGGGUGAUCGGCCACACUGGAACUGAGACACGGUCCAGACUCCUAAGGGAGGCAACAGUAGGGAAUCUUCCGCAAUGGGCGAAAGCCUGACGGAGCAACGCCGCGUGAGUGAUGAAGGUCUUCGGAUCGUAAAACUCUGUUAUUAGGGAAGAACAAACGUGUAAGUAACUGUGCACGUCUUGACGGUACCUAAUCAGAAAGCCACGGCUAACUACGUG